Molecule: transfer RNA, 70 nt
Filed under: Marmota monax (woodchuck)
Lineage: Eukaryota; Metazoa; Chordata; Mammalia; Rodentia; Sciuridae
Description: tRNA.Ala
Rfam family: tRNA
About the family: Transfer RNA (tRNA) molecules are approximately 80 nucleotides in length. Their secondary structure includes four short double-helical elements and three loops (D, anti-codon, and T loops). Further hydrogen bonds mediate the characteristic L-shaped molecular structure. tRNAs have two regions of fundamental functional importance: the anti-codon, which is responsible for specific mRNA codon recognition, and the 3' end, to which the tRNAs corresponding amino acid is attached (by aminoacyl-tRNA synthetases). tRNAs cope with the degeneracy of the genetic code in two manners: having more than one tRNA (with a specific anti-codon) for a particular amino acid; and 'wobble' base-pairing, i.e. permitting non-standard base-pairing at the 3rd anti-codon position.
Source: RNAcentral
GGGGCUGUAGCUCAGUGGUAGAGCACUUGCCUAGCAUGUGUGAGCAUUGAGUUGGAUUCUCAGCAUCUCA